This 1171-nucleotide ribosomal RNA is filed under the name Enterobacter cloacae subsp. cloacae. RNAcentral's name for it is "bacterial LSU rRNA". It matches the Rfam family "Bacterial large subunit ribosomal RNA", at positions 1 to 1207 of the family's 2925-position model. The record is from RNAcentral. Lineage: Bacteria; Pseudomonadati; Pseudomonadota; Gammaproteobacteria; Enterobacterales; Enterobacteriaceae.
GGGUUGUGAGGUUAAGCGACUAAGCGUACACGGUGGAUGCCCUGGCAGUCAGAGGCGAUGAAGGACGUGCUAAUCUGCGAAAAGCGCCGGCGAGGUGAUAUGAACCCUUGACCCGGCGAUGUCCGAAUGGGGAAACCCAGUGUGAUUCGUCACACUAUCGUUAACUGAAUACAUAGGUUAACGAGGCGAACCGGGGGAACUGAAACAUCUAAGUACCCCGAGGAAAAGAAAUCAACCGAGAUUCCCCCAGUAGCGGCGAGCGAACGGGGAGCAGCCCAGAGUCUGAAUCAGCUUGUGUGUUAGUGGAAGCGUCUGGAAAGUCGCACGGUACAGGGUGAAAGUCCCGUACACGAAAGCACACAGGCUGUGAACUCGAAGAGUAGGGCGGGACACGUGGUAUCCUGUCUGAAUAUGGGGGGACCAUCCUCCAAGGCUAAAUACUCCUGACUGACCGAUAGUGAACCAGUACCGUGAGGGAAAGGCGAAAAGAACCCCGGCGAGGGGAGUGAAAAAGAACCUGAAACCGUGUACGUACAAGCAGUGGGAGCACCUUCGGGUGUGACUGCGUACCUUUUGUAUAAUGGGUCAGCGACUUAUAUUCUGUAGCAAGGUUAACCGUAUAGGGGAGCCGAAGGGAAACCGAGUCUUAACUGGGCGUUAAGUUGCAGGGUAUAGACCCGAAACCCGGUGAUCUAGCCAUGGGCAGGUUGAAGGUUGGGUAACACUAACUGGAGGACCGAACCGACUAAUGUUGAAAAAUUAGCGGAUGACCUGUGGCUGGGGGUGAAAGGCCAAUCAAACCGGGAGAUAGCUGGUUCUCCCCGAAAGCUAUUUAGGUAGCGCCUCGUGAACUCAUCUUCGGGGGUAGAGCACUGUUUCGGCUAGGGGGCCAUCCCGGCUUACCAACCCGAUGCAAACUACGAAUACCGAAGAAUGUUAUCACGGGAGACACACGGCGGGUGCUAACGUCCGUCGUGAAGAGGGAAACAACCCAGACCGCCAGCUAAGGUCCCAAAGUCAUGGUUAAGUGGGAAACGAUGUGGGAAGGCCCAGACAGCCAGGAUGUUGGCUUAGAAGCAGCCAUCAUUUAAAGAAAGCGUAAUAGCUCACUGGUCGAGUCGGCCUGCGCGGAAGAUGUAACGGGGCUAAACCAUGCACCGAAGCUGCGGCA